CAAGUCACCAGGACAGUCUGCAAUCCUAGGUAUGCAAAGCCAAGGCAAAUUGAAAGCCAUGGCCCCUGUGCAUGUAGUAAGAGACAUGAGAACCCUAGUGAAAAACACAUACAACAUGUCCUUCAAGGGCACAGGGGAAUCAGCCCAUGGAAUAGAUGGGAGUGCUCCAUUGUUUCAGCCAUCAAUGCACAAUCUAAGCAACAACAUGGGUGAAGGAAAGGGAAAAGGAUACAGACAAGAUAAAAAAACCCUGGUACAGAAAGUCACUCCACCUCUUUCACUGGACAGAAGGAGAGAUCACUCUGCACCAAGAGGAUGCUUGACUAAGGUAAUGCCUCCUGUGGAAUCAAAUGGCAAAAGUCAUACUGUUGGAUUUACAAAGGUCAGCCCAAUUAGUGUAACCAAGGCAAACAGUUGUGCCUUGUCAAAGCCCUCAGAGACACAGGAUAGCCAAGUUGGCAUGGGUAAACCUGAUGUUCCAGUCAGUGAUACAAACUUGAAACCAACUAACAGGACAGACCUGGCACUGCAAGCUAAAAAGGAGGCCUCUACUGAAAAGCCUACAAAAGAAGAUUUGAACAAGGCAGAGCAUGAGAUGACCAUCAGCUCUGACAAAGAUAUACUUUUCCCAGUAGCACUGCAAUAUUGUCCACCCACAGCAAGUUCUGAGCAACAGGACCAUGGCAAGAUAAUUAGUGAUGGCCUCCAGACCCCAUGCCUUCCUCCCAGGUCACAGAGUUCAGUGGGACCUCUGUCUGCUUGCAUCCUAACGGUUGCUUCAACGCCCAUGGUUCCCUCAUAUUAUUACAAACCCAAUCCGCUGGGUUACCAGACAAUCUCUCCUCAUAUUGGAGCCGUUCAUGGCUAUGUUCAAGGGCCUGUCUUGUUUCAAACAUCUCUUUACAACCAGCCUUCUGCAUCAAACAGUCAUACCCCCCUACUGAGAUCCCUCUGUGAGGAUGGAAAAAUGCUAGUCCAUCCAACAUAUGGCUCAACCAGUCAAUCUCAGAACGGGGAAGCAGGGCUGAAAAUGUCUUCUCCAGAAAGCCAACACAAUACAAUCUUUGUUGCUCCCAUGAAUGCAGAGGCCAGGCUUGGGGGUACAGGUAUGCUGUAUCCAGAAACAGGAGGAAGUGUAGCAGCAGCACAAAACCCCCGCCAACUGUUGCUAGACCCGGAAACUGGCUGCUAUUUCUAUGUGGACAUGCCUCAGCUGCCACAGCGCAAGGUGCUGUUUGACCCAGAAACUUGCCAGUAUGUUGAGGUCCUAUUGCCACAGCAGACACUUCCCAGUGCUGUUUUGCCCACACCCUGUGCCAUAUCCUUUGCCUCUGUUCACAUCCCACCCAUGUAUACCCCACAAUGCUUACCUUACGUACAAUCACAUCCUCAGGUGCUCUCACCACCAGAACCAUGAAACCUGACUGGACCUAUAGACUGUAGAAGACAGUAGAAGAGUCAUGCCAAAGUAUCAGAUUACCCAGUGCCUAUUAAGUGCUGGAAAGGAGCUGUGUAUAAGCUUCUGGAUGAGUGAAACAUGUUGACCAUCUGCUGCCUUGGCCUCAAGGCGUCAAAGCUGAAAGCGUAUUCAGUUAGCACUGCAUUCAACACUCCUUACUUCGUAAAGGCUACCUCUGGACUUGGCAACUGACAUGGGUGAGACUGAUUAUAUCUGUUGAAAUGUUGUAAGAUGCAUAUGCAUUCACACAUUCAGGCUACAUAAACAGAGCAGGGGCCUUAAAGGGAGAG
Sinocyclocheilus anshuiensis is the source of this 1749-nucleotide long non-coding RNA. Lineage: Eukaryota; Metazoa; Chordata; Actinopteri; Cypriniformes; Cyprinidae. The record is from Ensembl.